UAAUUGAAGGGUUUGAUCCUGGCUCAGAAUGAACGUUGGCGGCGUGGAUUAGGCAUGCAAGUCGAGCGAGAAGAGUUUUUUGCUUGCAUUAAACUCGGAAAGCGGCGAAAGGGAGAGUAACGCGUAGAUACCUGCCCCUAGGUCUGGGAUAGCGUCGGGAAACUGGCGGUAAUACUAGAUAAUGUCCCUGGACCAAAGGUGUGAUUCCGCCUAGGGAUGGAUCUGCGUCCUAUUAGCUUGUUGGUGAGGUAAUGGCUCACCAAGGCGAUGAUGGGUAGCGGGCGUGAGAGCGUGGCCCGUCUCACUGGGACUGAGACACUGCCCAGACGUCUACGGACGGCUG
This 343-nucleotide ribosomal RNA is filed under the name Planctomycetales bacterium. Its description in RNAcentral is "bacterial SSU rRNA". It matches the Rfam family "Bacterial small subunit ribosomal RNA", at positions 1 to 351 of the family's 1533-position model. The record is from RNAcentral. Lineage: Bacteria; Pseudomonadati; Planctomycetota; Planctomycetia; Planctomycetales.